AUACGGAGGAUGCAAGCGUUAUCCGGAUUUAUUGGGUUUAAAGGGUGCGUAGGCGGUUUGCUAAGCGGGAGGUGAAAUGCCGGCGCUCAACGUCGGAAGUGCCUCCCGAACUGGUGGACUUGAAUGACUCUGCCGUGGGAGGAAUGUGUAGUGUAGCGGUGAAAUGCUUAGAGAUUACACAGAACACCGAUUGCGAAGGCAUCUCACGAAGGGUUGAUUGACGCUGAGGCACGAAAGCGUGGGGAUCAAACAGGAUUAGAUACCCUGGUAGUCCACGCAGUAAACGAUGAUGGCUAACCGCUGGGCUUAUCAGUUCAGUGGCCAAGCGAAAGCGAUAAGCCAUCCACCUGGGGAGUACGGCCGCAAGGUUGAAACUCAAAGGAAUUGACGGGG
Molecule: ribosomal RNA, 393 nt
Filed under: uncultured bacterium
Lineage: Bacteria
Description: partial 16S ribosomal RNA
Rfam family: Bacterial small subunit ribosomal RNA
Source: RNAcentral